Molecule: ribosomal RNA, 253 nt
Filed under: uncultured prokaryote
Description: partial 16S ribosomal RNA
Rfam family: Bacterial small subunit ribosomal RNA
Source: RNAcentral
CCUUCUGGUGCAAGCGUUAUCCGGAUUCACUGGGUUUAAAGGGUGUGUAGGCGGGCAGUUAAGUCAGUGGUGAAAUCUCCGGGCUCAACCCGGAAACUGCCAUUGAUACUAUCUGUCUUGAAUUUUGUUGAGGUAGGCGGAAUAUGUCAUGUAGCGGUGAAAUGUAUAGAUAUGACAUAGAACACCAAUUGCGAAGGCAGCUUACUAAGCAAACAUUGACGCUGAGGCACGAAAGCGUGGGGAUCAAACAGGA